RNAcentral lists this ribosomal RNA (468 nucleotides) under uncultured bacterium. Its description in RNAcentral is "partial 16S ribosomal RNA". It matches the Rfam family "Bacterial small subunit ribosomal RNA", at positions 28 to 507 of the family's 1533-position model. The record is from RNAcentral.
GACGAACGCUGGCGGCGUGCUUAACACAUGCAAGUCGAACGGAAAGGCCCUGCUUUUGUGGGGUGCUCGAGUGGCGAACGGGUGAGUAACACGUGAGUAACCUGCCCUUGACUUUGGGAUAACUUCAGGAAACUGGGGCUAAUACCGGAUAGGAGCUCCUGCUGCAUGGUGGGGGUUGGAAAGUUUCGGCGGUUGGGGAUGGACUCGCGGCUUAUCAGCUUGUUGGUGGGGUAGUGGCUUACCAAGGCUUUGACGGGUAGCCGGCCUGAGAGGGUGACCGGCCACAUUGGGACUGGGAUACGGCCCAGACUGCUACGGGAGGCAGCAGGGGGGAAUAUUGCACAAUGGGCGGAAGCCUGAUGCAGCAACGCCGCGUGCGGGAUGACGGCCUUCGGGUUGUAAACCGCUUUCGCCUGUGACGAAGCGUGAGUGACGGUAAUGGGUAAAGAAGCACCGGCUAACUACGUG